Molecule: non-coding RNA, 30 nt
Filed under: Homo sapiens (human)
Lineage: Eukaryota; Metazoa; Chordata; Mammalia; Primates; Hominidae
Source: RNAcentral
UCCUGGCCUUGGGUAUCUGGAAUUGUCUGC